CAGUCGCCGCGGGAAAACCAGCACCUCGAGUGGUCAGGAGGUUUAUUGGGCCUAAAGCAUCCGUAGCCGGUUGCAUAAGUUUUCGGUUAAAUCUAUGCGCUUAACGCAUAGGCCGCCGAAAAUACUGUGCAGCUAGGGAGUGGGAGAGGUACACGGUACUCGAUAGGAAGGGGUAAAAUCCUUUGAUCUAUUGAUGACCACCUGUGGCGAAGGCGGUGUACCAGAACACGUUCGACGGUGAGGGAUGAAAGCUGGGGGAGCAAACCGGAUUAGAGACCCGAGUAGUCCCUGUCUCUUAUAC
RNAcentral lists this ribosomal RNA (301 nucleotides) under uncultured bacterium. RNAcentral describes it as "partial 16S ribosomal RNA". It matches the Rfam family "Archaeal small subunit ribosomal RNA", at positions 459 to 760 of the family's 1478-position model. The record is from RNAcentral.